UGGGGAAUAUUGCACAAUGGGGGAAACCCUGAUGCAGCAACGCCGCGUGAGUGAUGAAGGUCUUCGGAUUGUAAAGCUCUGUCUUUAGGGACGAUAAUGACGGUACCUAAGGAGGAAGCCACGGCUAACUGCGUGCCAGCAGCCGCGGUAAUACGUAGGUGGCAAGCGUUAUCCGGAUUUACUGGGCGUAAAGGGCAUGCAGGCGGUUCAUCAAGUAGGAUGUGAAAUCCCCGGGCUCAACCUGGGAACAGCAUACUAAACUGGUGGACUAGAGUAUUGCAGGGGGAGACGGAAUUCCAGGUGUAGCGGUGGAAUGCGUAGAUAUCUGGAAGAACACCAAAGGCGAAGGCAGUCUCCUGGGCAAAUACUGACGCUCAUAUGCGAAAGCGUGGGUAGCAAACAGGAUUAGAUACCCUGGUAGU
RNAcentral lists this ribosomal RNA (422 nucleotides) under uncultured Succinivibrio sp. RNAcentral describes it as "bacterial SSU rRNA". It matches the Rfam family "Bacterial small subunit ribosomal RNA", at positions 355 to 794 of the family's 1533-position model. The record is from RNAcentral. Lineage: Bacteria; Pseudomonadati; Pseudomonadota; Gammaproteobacteria; Aeromonadales; Succinivibrionaceae.